CAGCCAUUUCGCAAAGAUUUCCGUACAGAGCAUCAGCUCAGAGAGAAAUAGCGCAGAAUUAUGGCAGGGACGACGGUAAUGUGGUUCUUUUGUGAUGUUUUAUUCAUUUUAACAUUAUCGGUGAACACCAGCACCAACACAUCCGGGUUUGCUGGAGAGUGCGGAGACAUAUUACCAUUCAAAAAGGUCAAAAAUUUCCUCAGUUGGAGAGAUGCACAAAAUGCUGCCACAAUUUUCAUUGUCCCUUUUGUAUGCCCAGUUUAUUUAAGCCCUGCAGACCGGACAAAGUCAAAUUACACUUGAAAAGCCACCGUAACAAAGCAGUUGUCCAUGGAGAUUUCACUAUUCACAGAUGUGGACUGGGCUGUAGAGCAUCACUCCAUUACCACUGUAUGUACUAUACCAACAACAAUUCUUAGGAGAGGUGAUUUUAAAAACAUAUUUUCACGGAUAUGUGUAAACGUGAAUCAUUUUGAAAACAUUGUCGUGUAUACGUGAAAUCAGACUAACAGCAUAUGCAAAGAUGGAGUUUGAGACGGUCCGCACAUGUAAAUGAUAACUGUUUGUGUGGAGCAGCAUUUACUGUGAACGGAGCUGCUCUGAGAGCCACAUAAUUUGCGCGCAAAUAAAUGAAGCACAGAUUAAAGGAUUAGUUCCUGAUAAUGUACUCAUGUCAUCCAAGAUGUUCCUGUCUUUCUUUCUUCAGUCGCAAAGAAAUGAAGGUUUUUGAGGAAAACAUUCCAGGUUUUUUCUCCAUAUAAU
Long non-coding RNA from Cyprinus carpio (common carp), 762 nucleotides. RefSeq lists it as uncharacterized. The transcript has 3 exons. The record is from RefSeq and is a predicted model, not a curated record. NCBI's taxonomy places the organism in Eukaryota, Metazoa, Chordata, Actinopteri, Cypriniformes, Cyprinidae.